RNAcentral lists this ribosomal RNA (426 nucleotides) under uncultured bacterium. Its description in RNAcentral is "bacterial SSU rRNA". It matches the Rfam family "Bacterial small subunit ribosomal RNA", at positions 355 to 774 of the family's 1533-position model. The record is from RNAcentral.
UGGGGAAUUUUGGACAAUGGGCGCAAGCCUGAUCCAGCCAUUCCGCGUGCAGGACGAAGGCCUUCGGGUUGUAACUGCUUUUGUACGGAACGAAAAGGCUCUGGCUAAUACCUGGGGCUCAUGACGGUACCGUAAGAAUAAGCACCGGCUAACUACGUGCCAGCAGCCGCGGUAAUACGUAGGGUGCAAGCGUUAAUCGGAAUUACUGGGCGUAAAGCGUGCGCAGGCGGUUAUGUAAGACAGAGGUGAAAUCCCCGGGCUCAACCUGGGAACGGCCUUUGUGACUGCAUAGGUUGAGUACGGCAGAGGGGGAUGGAAUUCCGCGUGUAGCAGUGAAAUGCGUAGAUAUGCGGAGGAACACCGAUGGCGAAGGCAAUCCCCUGGGCCUGUACUGACGCUCACGCACGAAAGCGUGGGGAGCAAACA